Molecule: transfer RNA, 74 nt
Filed under: Methanobacteriota archaeon
Lineage: Archaea; Methanobacteriati; Methanobacteriota
Description: Euryarchaeota archaeon tRNA-Arg
Rfam family: tRNA
About the family: Transfer RNA (tRNA) molecules are approximately 80 nucleotides in length. Their secondary structure includes four short double-helical elements and three loops (D, anti-codon, and T loops).
Source: RNAcentral
GCCCCCGUAGGCUAGUUUGGACAGACUGCGGGCUUGCGGAGCCUGUGACCUGGGUUCGAAUCCCAGCGGGGGCG